GGUCAGCCUGCCCAGUGACAUAGUUCAACGGCCGCGGUAUCCUAACCGUGCGAAGGUAGCAUAAUCACUUGUUCUUUAAAUAAGGACUAGUAUCAACGGCACCACGAGGACUGUACUGUCUCCUUUCUCCAAUCAGUGAAACUGAUCUCCCCGUGAAGAAGCGGGGAUAAAUAUAUAAGACGAGAAGACCCCAUGGAGCUUAAAACCUCACACAUCUCUAUGUUAUUAAAUCACUUAAACAAGGGGGGGUUGUGGCUGGGUUUUAGGUUGGGGAGACCACGGAGUAAAAUUAAACCUCCAUGACAAACGGGCCAACGCCCUCACCCAUGAAUUACAAUUCUAAGUAUUAACAAACUAAUGUUGAUGAUCCGGUUAGCCGAUCAACGAACCAAGUUACCCUGGGGAUAACAGCGCCAUCUGCUUCAAGAGCCCCUAUCGACAAGCAGGUUUACGACCUCGAUGUUGGAUCAGGGUAUCCUAGUGGUGCAGCCGCUACUAAAGGUUCGUUUGUUCAACGAUUAAAACCCUACGUGAUCUGAU
RNAcentral lists this ribosomal RNA (540 nucleotides) under Amolops torrentis. RNAcentral's name for it is "partial 16S ribosomal RNA". It matches the Rfam family "Bacterial large subunit ribosomal RNA", at positions 1851 to 2609 of the family's 2925-position model. Lineage: Eukaryota; Metazoa; Chordata; Amphibia; Anura; Ranidae. The record is from RNAcentral.